Molecule: ribosomal RNA, 253 nt
Filed under: uncultured bacterium
Lineage: Bacteria
Description: partial 16S ribosomal RNA
Rfam family: Bacterial small subunit ribosomal RNA
Source: RNAcentral
CACGGGGGGAGCAAGCGUUGUUCGGAAUCACUGGGCGUAAAGGGCGUGUAGGCGGUCACGUAAGUGGGAUGUGAAAUCCCCCGGCUCACCCGGGGACCUGCAUCCCAAACUGCUUGGCUUGAGUACGGGAGAGGAUGGAGGAAUUCCUGGUGUAGCGGUGAAAUGCGUAGAUAUCAGGAGGAACACCGGUGGCGAAGGCGUCCAUCUGGCCCGAUACUGACGCUGAGGCGCGAAAGCUAGGGGAGCGAACGGG